RNAcentral lists this microRNA precursor (57 nucleotides) under Plutella xylostella (diamondback moth). Its description in RNAcentral is "microRNA pxy-mir-8547 precursor". The record is from miRBase by way of RNAcentral. Lineage: Eukaryota; Metazoa; Arthropoda; Insecta; Lepidoptera; Plutellidae.
UUCUUAUUUAGUUCAGUUUAAUAACAUAUUUUUAAUUAACUGAAAAUUAAAUAAUUA